CCUACGGGCGGCAGCAGUGGGGGAUAUUGCACAAUGGGGGGAACCCUGAUGCAGCGACGCCGCGUGGGUGAAGAAGCGCCUCGGCGCGUAAAGCCCUGUCAGCAGGGAAGAAAAUGACGGUACCUGAAGAAGAAGCCCCGUCUAACUACGUGCCAGCAGCCGCGGUAAUACGUAGGGGGCCGGCGUUACCCGGAUUUACUGGGUGUAAGGGGGGCGCAGACGGCGUUGCAAGCCAGGAGUGAAAGCCCGGGGCCCAACCCCGGGACUGCACUUGGAACUGCGUGGCUGGAGUGCAGGAGGGGCAGGCGGAAUUCGUGGUGUAGCGGUGAAAUGCGUAGAUAUCAGGAGGAACACCGGUGGCGAAGGCAGCCUGCUGGACUGCAACUGACGUUGAGGCCCGAAAGCGUGGGGAGCAAACAGGAUUAGAUACCCCUGUAGUC
Molecule: ribosomal RNA, 440 nt
Filed under: uncultured bacterium
Lineage: Bacteria
Description: partial 16S ribosomal RNA
Rfam family: Bacterial small subunit ribosomal RNA
Source: RNAcentral